AACUUUUAUUUCAUUGAAAAUUGUAGCAGCCAACAACUUCAUCUUCAUGAUGUCUCUCUUUCUCUCUAGAUAAUCAAUUAUAUAAUGGACAGAUAUACGUGAUUGUGACUUGACCACCAACAUCAUCAACCAACUUUAUUAUUCACUUAACAAUAUGGUCCUCUGAUAAUAUUAAAUAUUAAACCAACAAAGACUACUAAAAUAUUAAUCCAAGAUUGAACAAGACGUCCCGGUUCAAAGAAGAUGAUCGAUGAUUUACAUGACUGUGCAAGCUGAGGGAUUUUCUUCACUGAAACAAUCAGGGCGGGUAACACAGUAGCUUCUGUUUCCACCGCCGUAACUGUCAUACACAGGUCUUCCAUAGUAACCAUCAUAUUGUAUGUAUGGGGCAGGCCCACCGCCAUAACCAUUGUAGCAUGGCCCACCUGGAUGCCCCUGGUAACAAUCCAUACAACACGCGUUUACUUGGACAGGCGGUGGGUACCCUGGCACAACAGGACCCGGCUGCACUGGAGGAGGAGAAGGCUUCACUGGCUCAGCCGGUGGCGGUGCAGGUUUUGGCGGUUUCACUGGCUCCGCUGGUGGCGGUGCAGGUUUAGGAUUUUCAGGUUCCUUGGGUUUAUCUGCCGGUUUAGGUUUUUCAGGCUCUUUGGGUUUCUCUGCCGGUUUAGGUUUUUCAGGCUCUUUGGGUUUCUCAGUCGUCGGUUUAGGUUUUUCGGGCACUUUGGGUUUCUCUGCCGGUUUAGGUUUUUCGGGCUCUUUGGGUUUCUCGGCCGGUGGUGGCUUGGGCUUCUCUGGCUCUUUGAUCUCAAUGCUUUUUAUGGCACCUCCACCUUUGCAGCAAAUCUUGUCCCUUAUCUUUUCUGGACUACAGCAUACCACUUUGAUCACCACUUG
RNAcentral lists this long non-coding RNA (897 nucleotides) under Malus domestica (apple). RNAcentral's name for it is "long non-coding RNA (MDOM_LNC005430)". The record is from RNAcentral. Lineage: Eukaryota; Viridiplantae; Streptophyta; Magnoliopsida; Rosales; Rosaceae.